GAGUGCCUCCUAUGGAGGCUGUUCAGGUGUCUAAAAAGCACUCGAAGUAAGGGCUGGGUAAGACCGGUGCCAGCCGCCGCGGUAACACCGGCAGCCCAAGUGGUAGCCACGAUUAUUGGGUNUAAAGCGUCCGUAGCCGGCCAGGUAAGUUCUUUGGGAAAUUUAACCGCUCAACGGUUAAGCUUUCAGGGAAUACUGCUUGGCUUGGGACCGGGAGAGGUCAGAGGUACUUCAAGGGUAGGGGNGAAAUCCGUUAAUCCUNGAGGGACCACCAGUAGNGAAGGCGUCUGACCAGGCCGGGUCCGACGGUGAGGGACGAAGGNUAGGGUCGCGAACCGGAUUAGAUACCCGGGUAGUCCUAGCUGUAAACGAUGCGGGCCAGGUGUUGGCAUUACUGCGAGUGAUGUCAGUGCCGAAGGGAAGCCGUUAAGCCCGCCAUCUGGGGAGUACGGUCGCAAGGNUGAAACUUAAAGGAAUUGGCGGGGGAGCACCACAACGGGUGGAGCCUGCGGUUCAAUUGGAUUCAACGCC
This 531-nucleotide ribosomal RNA is filed under the name uncultured archaeon. Its description in RNAcentral is "bacterial SSU rRNA". It matches the Rfam family "Archaeal small subunit ribosomal RNA", at positions 383 to 919 of the family's 1478-position model. The record is from RNAcentral.